ACCACCAAGAACAAAAGCGAUCGGGGAAACUAAAGAAAACGGAGAAAAACAAAAUACCAACCGGAAUGAAAACAAAACGCUGGGAAACCCUGAAAAUGAAAGGAUUAUGUCACAAACCAGUGUAAAUACCAGCAUUAUGGAGCAAGAAACAGCUAACUGUGGGGAGAUGCAUGCAUAUGAGAAGAUGCUACAGAAGGCUGCAUUUCAGAAAAGUGAAAAUAGUGGAAAUCUGAUGGUGGAAACAGAGGAAGACAUGGUUUGGUCUAGAUGUGACAGUAAUUCAUGGAAUCGUCCUAAUAUGAAAAAAGAGAAAGGUGAUUCUGGUAACUUGAAGAAUGCGGACAAGGAACAAAUGUCCACCAAAUAGGACACAACAAAAAUAAAAUGUUAUGAUAGUGCUUUGCGUUCGUGCUUUAAAUAUGGAAAAAGCAAUAACAUCUUAAAUGCUGUAAAACUUUUAAGAUAUAAAAUAGCAACAUACACAGGCAGUUGCUACGACUUCAUUGAUUGUUUUUGACAAAGCAGUGUAAAUUGUAGGCCCUUAUAUAAAUUGUAACAGGUGGACUAAAAUUUUGUUUUAGCUUUAUCUUAAAGAUAAUUACAGCAAACAGAAUGUACCUGAUCACAAUAUAGUGUAAUACUUUUGUAAAUAAGAGUUUUUAAUUUAAUUUUUUUAUUGCAAAUUCCCUUUAUUAUGGGUAAAAAUGGAUUAACAAUAAAUUGUUUGAAAAUGAUUCAAUUGUUUCUUAAAUUACUGUCUUUUUUAUUCAAAAAUAAAAAUUGAAAUUAAAAGUUUACAUUCGCUUAUAAUGGAUGUACUAUAUACUAUAACAAUCUUAAAAUUUCUGUGAUGCAACUGUCCCUUUUUGGUGACAGGAUAAGUGAAAUACAUGUACUGUAUAUACUUCUUUGUCAAUGUAUUAUUAAAAAAUUGUAGUUAC
Long non-coding RNA from Trichomycterus rosablanca, 941 nucleotides. RefSeq lists it as uncharacterized. The record is from RefSeq and is a predicted model, not a curated record. NCBI's taxonomy places the organism in Eukaryota, Metazoa, Chordata, Actinopteri, Siluriformes, Trichomycteridae. The transcript has 3 exons.